Long non-coding RNA from Oreochromis niloticus (Nile tilapia), 217 nucleotides. RefSeq lists it as uncharacterized. The record is from RefSeq and is a predicted model, not a curated record. NCBI's taxonomy places the organism in Eukaryota, Metazoa, Chordata, Actinopteri, Cichliformes, Cichlidae. The transcript is spliced from 3 exons.
GGGAGUCCCUCCCUCUAAAAGCACUCUGUGUGGGGAACAUGAGAGCCAGACCAAAGCUCAGAGGAACCAACCUGGACCUCCACCCAGCUCUGUGUCCUUAAGGAGUGAUGAGUCUAAAGAUUGGCCCAUUAAAUUUAAAUCCCAGCCUGCAGUAAGAGUGGACCAGCAGAGCUCAGAGGUUCCCAGUGGUCAGUCUGCCCAGCAGCAUCAAACACAG